GUACAAUUCUCUUAGUUUAGACUAAAUUUAGUGUUGAUACGGCAGCGGGCAGCGUCUCUUGCGAGACACCCGCCAAAACAUACUAGGUUGGGGUAGGUAAGGAUGAUUCAAUAAUGAUCCAUCCGCAGGUUCACCUACGGAUA
This 143-nucleotide unclassified non-coding RNA is filed under the name uncultured fungus. Its description in RNAcentral is "sequence contains ITS1". Lineage: Eukaryota; Fungi. The record is from RNAcentral.